RNAcentral lists this unclassified non-coding RNA (1533 nucleotides) under Zea mays. Its description in RNAcentral is "misc RNA Zm00001eb010520". The record is from RNAcentral. Lineage: Eukaryota; Viridiplantae; Streptophyta; Magnoliopsida; Poales; Poaceae.
GCAUUUGUUCGUAUAACUCCGCAAUUGGCAGUGUCUGCCCCGGCACCAUUUAUUCGGGAGGCGAUCCGUGCUGCUUUCCCGCUCAUCACCUUCGAGGUUCUCCCCUCGUCGUUCGGAUCGUUGCUGGUGCGCUUUCAGUCGGCAGGUGAUUGUACUGCUGCUGUGAGUCGCUCCCCCCUAUUGCAUGAGGAUGUGGCGAUCUUCUUCGAGCGCCACGACGGGAGGAGUGUCAAACAGCCGGUUGAUGUGCUUGCGGUCUUGUCUGUUCAUGGGUUCCCUCUGACCUUCUGGCACGAGGAGUUCAUCCGCCAGGCGUUCCAAGUAUUUUGCUCAGUCGUGGAAGUCGACUGGCGUUGCACCUCGGGCCUCGACUACUCGUCUGUUCGGGUUGUGGUCCGCGUGGAGGAAGUGACAAGCAUUCCAGCAGACCUUUGCAUUCAUGAUUCUUCAUCUGGGGAUUCCUUCGUUUGUCAGGUGAAGCUGGUUGAUUCGUGGCCGCUGCCGGUGGAUUACGGCCAGCAUGGCACGCUCCGCCCCUACUUCGGAUGGCCUCCCCAUCCUGUGCUGCCGCCACCUGCCCCCACGCCCCACCGCACAACGCCCCUGCAGCCCCUCCGCCACCACCUAUCUCGCAACCUUGCCCGCCAGCUCACAGUCGUCCCCCUCGCCACCCUACAGCCCGAUCAGUCGCUUGUGACGUGCCUCGCCCGCACACUACUGGCUCUGGUCCUUAACCAGCCCCACCGCCUUCUGCUCCCCUGCCUACCAUCCUUCCCCAUCAUAAUCCACAAAAAUAUCCUCCCCCUGCAUCCUGCACCCGCCUUCUCAGCUCCAUUCCCUCCCUUUCCCCUCACAUCAUGCUCGACUGUUGCGCCUGCGAUCGCUGACGUUGAAGUGCUCUCCCCCUCCCCCCUCCCCCCCCUCCUCCCUGCAACCUGACCCAGACCAUGAAUCUUCAGCAAGAAAAUCUCGCGCACGCACCAAACGUACUGCUGACCUCGCAGCCAAAAACAAGAAAAUAGCUCCAGCUUCACGCCACAGUGUCCGUCUGCGGGAUAAGGAACCCGCGAACUACGUGGACAUGUCCUCUAAGGCGACCAAUCUGAAAGCUCUGAAGAACGAGCUGGCAAACUGCUCCAAUAAUCUCAAGGCAAAGGUCAAGCGCCAUGGUCUGCUGCGCAAAUGCACUCUGAAUGCUGCUGACCUGAGGGCGCUCGCUGGCACCAUAGCGUUGCCGGCUCUGGCUACUGCUGAACUGGAGCAGGCGCUGGAAAGUUCCACAUGUUAGAAUUCAACUUCUGUGCUAUGGUGAGGCUAGGCUCACAUCCUCCUAGCAAGUUAUCCCCCUGUAUUUCCUAUUAUGUUUGUUUCUCCUCAGACUUAAUGUAUGUCGCUCUUUUACCUCCAGUUGCUCUUCACAUUCCUCUUGUUAUCUGGAUGUUCUGCUGGUGUUAAUCAUGAGUUCAAAUCGUCUUAUAACUGUCAUCUCCUGGAAUACUCGUGGCCUCGGUGAGGACAAUAAGUGUGUCGACG